This 303-nucleotide ribosomal RNA is filed under the name Bacillus cereus. RNAcentral's name for it is "bacterial SSU rRNA". It matches the Rfam family "Bacterial small subunit ribosomal RNA", at positions 93 to 390 of the family's 1533-position model. The record is from RNAcentral. Lineage: Bacteria; Bacillati; Bacillota; Bacilli; Caryophanales; Bacillaceae.
UAGCGGCGGACGGGUGAGUAACACGUGGGUAACCUGCCCAUAAGACUGGGAUAACUCCGGGAACCGGGGCUAAUACCGGAUAACAUUUUGAACCGCAUGGUUCGAAAUUGAAAGGCGGCUUCGGCUGUCACUUAUGGAUGGACCCGCGUCGCAUUAGCUAGUUGGUGAGGUAACGGCUCACCAAGGCAACGAUGCGUAGCCGACCUGAGAGGGUGAUCGGCCACACUGGGACUGAGACACGGCCCAGACUCCUACGGGAGGCAGCAGUAGGGAAUCUUCCGCAAUGGACGAAAGUCUGACGGA